Molecule: ribosomal RNA, 263 nt
Filed under: uncultured bacterium
Lineage: Bacteria
Description: partial 16S ribosomal RNA
Rfam family: Bacterial small subunit ribosomal RNA
Source: RNAcentral
GUCCACGCCGUAAACGAUGGGCACUAGGUGCUUAGGGGAGCGACCCUCUGAGUACCGGCGCUAACGCAUGAAGUGCCCCGCCUGGGGAGUACGGCCGCAAGGCUGAAACUCAAAGGAAUUGACGGGGCCCGCACAAGCGGUGGAGCAUGUGGUUUAAUUCGACGCAACGCGCAGAACCUUACCUAGGCUUGACAUGCACGGGAAGCUGGUGGAAACAUCGGCCCCUCUUCGGAGCCCGUGCACAGGUGCUGCAUGGCUGUCGU